Long non-coding RNA from Pongo pygmaeus (Bornean orangutan), 9628 nucleotides. RefSeq lists it as uncharacterized. NCBI's taxonomy places the organism in Eukaryota, Metazoa, Chordata, Mammalia, Primates, Hominidae. The transcript has 7 exons. The record is from RefSeq and is a predicted model, not a curated record.
UUAGCCCACAGACCACCCUAACAUCUUGCACUGUCUGGGGGCUCCCCGGGCUCAGGAACACCCACUUCUGUGGCCGGGAGCUGGGCUCAGCCACAUCCCUGCAACUUCUCCGGGACACCGCCAUCCAGCUACGCCGAGGCCUGACGGCGGCUCCAUGUUUCCUGCCAAUGGCCGUGCUAUUAACUUCUGCAUCUGAAAGGUGAGAGUGCAUGGGAUGGAAGAGGAUCUAGCGGGUGGACGUGAUCACAGCAGCUGCAUCCGGAAGGUCAAACGCUCAGAGCCAUAUGUGGCUCAAGGCUGCCAUGUUGCACAGUGCAAAUCCACAGAGCGUUUCAUCCAAUGGUAUUGCCCUUGAAGGUAGGCAUUCCACAGCCCGCUGCCCUGACGAGGAAAACACACAGAGCCUCCUCCUGACCCGCAACGCACAUGUGCUUCUGUUUUGUUUGCUGGUAACCACUUUAUAUUCCUCAUAUUGGCAAUUGAGGAAUACAAUGGAAAGAAGUGCAUAUCUUAUACUUUACUUAUGAAGAAGUCUCUAGGGAAGCCCCAAGACAAUAUGGGACAAAAACAAAAGCACAAGAGAAAUAUGAAGCAUCUGGCAUAUAUAGUUAGAAAAAAAUAAACACAACCCAAAUCCUAGCCAGAUUAACAAAGAAUCACACAGUAAAGACAUUUUUGCCUCCGUUUCUAUUAUCUGAUAAUUAUAUCUGGCUUUUGACAAGAUAAAAUACUAUGUGAUAAGCUAGAAAGUAAGAAAAAAUAGUCUAAAGAGACAAACAUGAAAAUGAACUCAGAUAUUGCAUGGAUUUUAGAAGUAUUAGAUAGAGUAUUUAAAGUAACUAUGAAUAAUAUGUUAAAGGCUCUCAUAGAAAAAGAAGGCAAUACUCAAAAUUGGAUGGACAAUGUAAUCAAAGAGAUAAAAAUGCUAAGAAAGAAUAAAAAGGAAAGGCUACAAAUCGAAACACUCUAAUAGGAAAUAAUGAAUGUUGUUGAUGGGCUCAUCAGUGGAAUGGAUUCUGCCAAGAGUCAGUGACUUAAAAAUGUGUCAAUAGGAAUGUCACAAUAAAAAUGACUGAAAAUUUUAAAACAAUAGGAAUUCGAGAACUGUAGAAAAAUUUCAACAGGUAUACGUAACAUAUGCACAGGGGAUGGAAAAAGAUAAUCCAUACUAAUACUAAUCAGAAUAAUACUGGACUAGAGAAAUUAGCUUAGGACAAAGGUGACUUCAGAACAAGAAAAAAUAUUCAGAGAUAGAUCGGGGCAGGACGGGGCAUUACAAGAUAGAUGGUUCAAUUAUUCAAUAAAGCAUAACAAUAGUAAACAUGGACAUACCUAACAACAGAGCAUCAAGUUAUAUGAAUCAAUACUCAAUAGGACUGAAAAGAUAGACGAAUCUACUACUACAGCUGGAGAAUUCAACACCUCCCCUUCACUAAUCAAGAGAUACGGCAGGCAGAAAAUCAAUAAGGACAUAGUUGAACAGAACCUGAACAGAACCAUCAACUUGCUCUAAUUGCUGUUUAUAAAAUACUCCAUGCAGCAAUAGUAGAAUACACAUUCUCCAACUCAUGGAACAUUAACCAAGAUGGACCACAUGCUCGACUGUAAAACACACCUUAAAAAUGUCAGAGAAUACACAGCAUAUGUUCCCAGAUCACACUGUAAUUGAUUGCAAAUCAAUAGCAGAACAAUAGAUGGAAAGAAAAAACCCGAAUAUUUAAAGAUUAAACAGUACACACUUAAAUACAGGAGUCAAAGAACUUUCAAGAUAAAUUGUAAAAUAUUUUGAGCUAGAUAAAAAUGAAAAUACAACUUAUCAAAAUUUGAGGGAUGUAGUAAAAGCAGUACUUAACAGGGAAAUUUAUGGCAUUAAAUGCACAUCAUAAAAAAGUAAAGAUAUAAAAUUAAUAAUCUAAGCUUCCGCCUUAGGAAGAAGAAAAGAAGAGCAAUUUAAGGCCAGAAUGAUCAUCUGGACAUGGAUUAGGAGUGGAGAAACCAGUGUGCACUCAUGUGGUCCUCAACAUAGGUUCCAUAAAGACAUAUUUAUAGAAAUAUGUAUGUACAUGUGUAGAUUCCUGCUCUGUCACUCACUAGGGCUAAAAGCAAUGACAUCCCAAUAUCAAAGAUAACAUGAAAUACCCAGAUCUUUGCUUCAAUUGCUAAUCUCCAGUAAAAGGAACCAGGGCUCCCCAGAGAAAUUGUGGAUUCCAGGAGUAGAACAGGAAAUAGACAAGGUAAGCUGGGGGCACCUUGUAGAGCUAGAAAAUUAAUAACUGCUGAAAAAAUAAAAAUGAACAGCCACAUUGCCAGGGCACAUCAGGGCCACAGGAGCCAAUGGAAAGAUCUGGCCUGCAACUGAAACUGAAAAGAUUAAACAAUAAUGACAACAAAAAGCAGCAUUGGCUCAUAAUCCAAUUAUAAAAUAAAUACCUAUGAGUUUAUCGUGAUAUGAACUAAUGGGUAAAUAUGUAAAUAUUUAACAGACAAAUCUCCCUUGCAGAGGAAUUCCAAAUAAAGUUGCAGACUCCAUGUUCUUAGGGGAAGAGAGCGUAACUCCUGCUGCUUAAGUGAAGCCCAUGCAUAGUGACUUUGCUCCAGUGAGUCUGGAAAGCGGGACAAGGGAGUAACUUUCCUGUGGAGAAAACUGGCAGAGGCCACGACCGCCAGGUGAGGCGGGUGCUGCAGUGAUGAGUCAUUGACAGAAGGCGCCUUGACAGGGUGUAAUAAAAAUAGCACUUUACUUCUAUGGUCUUCUUCCCCAAAUUCCAUAAUCCCAAUUGGAUCAUCAGAAAAACCCCAACUGAGAGAAAUUCUACAGCAUGCCUGACCAUUACUCUUCAAAACUAUCCCAAUCAUCGAAAAUAAGGAAAAUCUGAGAAACUGCCAGCAGAGAGGGGUCCAGGGAGAUGUGACGGCUGCAUGCACAGCGGCAUCCCGGACGGGGUCCUGGAACAGAAAGAUAACAUCAGGUUAGCAACUAAGGAAUCCCGAAUAGGCUAUGGAUAUUAGUCAAUGAUUACUAUUACGCAAACAUAUGAUCAUUAUGUCAAGAUGAGGAACAAAUUUCCCAUCUUGUCAAAUAAUUUAUUGAGCACAUUUAUCAAUUGUUAAGUCUGUCUGAUAGCUUUGUUUGAUUUCUGAUCUCCUGAUGUUUGAUUUUGAUUGAGAUUGAAUGUCCUGAUUGUGGUGAGUCAGUGCAGUCUCUGUGUGUGCUUGGUGACAUCUGAGUGAAUGUCACACGACUGUGUAAAUGAUAGCAGAGAUAAUGGGGGCUCCGGAUGAUACAGUCUUUUCCCAAAGCGGAGCCAUUUGACGCUGGCUGGUGGCCCAGCUAGAGGCAGAUGACGCCUGCUCACCUAGGGACUGAGGUCACCCAGCUGUGUCUCAGCCUCUCUUUGAGGGCACCCUUCUUCUUACUAACCCGUGCUCCUGGGGGUCACAUAUGGAGCUCCAGCUUCAGCCCCUUGAGAUUAAAAUCAGUUUCUGUUCCUCUUCUCUCCCGGGCCAGCCUCCACUACAUCCCUGGCCGCACCAGCCACCAGGGAUUUGGUCUUUAUGGGGAAAGACAGGAAGAGUAUUUAAGACAUUUAAAGUAGAAAAUACUUUUGGCCUUGAGGAAAAAUAUUAAGGCUCUGAGAAAGAAAAAUAGCCUUAGAUUCCUGAUGACACUGACUUCCCAAAAAUGGCAAAUGUUGUGUGGAGAAGGAGAGAGAUCUUCCCCGUGAGCUGGCAGGACCGUCCGUCAUGUGCGCAAUGCCUUGGACGCAGUGUGAGAAGUGGGUAAAUUCUGUGGCACACACCAGUGAUUUGAACAACAAUUUAUGGCUCUCUCCCCUCUCUCUUUAUUUUUUCUUUACAGUUUUAUUCCCUCUGGUUCAUAGUACCCUUUUUUCUAAAACUAAUGUGAUUUUUGAAACAACAGAUGUGAUAAACCAAGAUUAAAUUAUGUUCCCAAAUUUAAAAAAAGUUUGAGGAGAAAGUAGUUUCAUAAUCAAUGUUUGAUAAGCACAAUUAUUUUUUAACAUGUAAGACGAUACCAACUUAAAUCUAGACAGUACAUUAAAGUUUAAAAGUUCAGUUUGUAGGAGUGUAUCAAUAGUUAAAUUAAUAAUUUAAAAGUCUCUUUAUUUCUGGCAUAAUAUUCUAUUUUUAUUUUCACUUGUAAAACAUACUAUAAUUUUGUAUGCAGAAUGUAAGGUACCAAUACCUUUGUUGAGUUUUGAAAAUAUUUAUUAAUUAAGGAAUAUCAAUAUAUAAAAUUAUCUUCUAAAUAAGCUUUAUGUUGAUCAAUAAUUUCUGGAUCAAAUUAACUUUAAGCAAAUGAGAAAUAUGUACAGCUGUCACAGUGUAAUAAAUUAAAAAAUGAUCAUUUCAUUGAUUUGAGUCAACUAGCUAUUUUCUGCAUAGUUUAUAAUGUACAGAAGGUGGAAGAUGCAUGUCUGAUACAUUUCCUGGGAAUAAAUGUAUCAUCUCUGAAGCUAUUAUGGCUCUAAUAAGGAACUCCUCAUGUUUGCUUUGGAAAUCCCACUUAAGAUGAAGAGAGUUUUUUCUUUCCUCCAGUGUGAUCAGCAGUGCUGGUGAUUACCAGGCUUCUCAUGCCUGUUUCUAACAGACCAACACUUUUCUAGGAAGUGCUAAGCAACUUGAAUCUCACUCCUGGAACACAAGCCCCAGCCAUAUGGAUAACAAACAUUUAUCCUAUUCAUAUGGGAAGUCAUAGGAACACAUGGUUUCCUAACCUGGACAUCAAGGUCUUUGGAGGAAUCUUGCAGCCUGUUCCUGGCAGCUUUCUCUCCCCUCCUUCCUAGGCCACCAGAGCUGGCAGGGAGCCCAGUGGGAAGGUGGCAUUUCUGCUCAGCAAGCAACUGAGAGAAGCCUGCCCUUGGCAAUAGAAAGUUCUAACGAGGACCCAGGUUUUUAGACAGCUAGAGUCUCUGUGUUUCUUCUGAUUGUGGUAGGAAAUAAAGCCAGGAAAAAUAAGUCUUUAUAAAAACAGCAUGGGUGUUUUUGUGAUAGAUUUCCAACGGGUAAAAAAGGUAACUACGUUAGAAAUGUGAGCCUGGCAAGAGGGAAAAGCUGGCAUUAAGGACCUGCCGAAAUUCUGAAUUAACUUUCUUUUCUAUGCCAGAGUGAAUUUAAAAUAGAUAUAUAAAUGUCUGUUUCAUUUAUAUUCUUUAGUGAAAGGCAAAUACAUAAGCAAAAUAAAAUUUAAAAUACUACUAUUGAAUAAACAAUUUGAAUACCACUAUGAAGUAAGACAUAAUAGAUUAUUGAAGAAAAGGAAGCCUGGACCCUCCUGUAAAGUAAGUGGAGGAGGCUGCAGAGAGAAGGAUCUCUCGCCAAACUGCAGGAGAAAAGCAUAGCCCUCCAGCAGGAAAUGGAAGAUGGUGAUUUCAGGACAUUUGUCAGCUAAAGCUUUCACAAAACAGCUUUAUGCAGCCUUUUGAAUAAAUGCUCUGCGUGGUUGUGUGGAGGAGAUAUUAUUAGGAGGGCCUGAACUCUUAAAAUAAUGAAAUUGAGUUUACUGUAACUUUGUAGAGGUAAAGGAAAUAAAAAUAUGCUUCUAUAAGUUAUAUGGGAAAGAGAACUUCAAAAUCAAGAGAAAGAGAAGUUUUAACUUCCUUACCUCUAUUUGUUUAGGCUGUCUUGUGGAGGUCGGUAUUAUUACACACUACAUUAAACAUCUUGCACAGAAAAACAAAGUCAGCAUAUUCUCUGUCAGCCAAUGGAAGAGAGUGGAGUAAACCAGUAAUUCCUUAACACACAUGCUUUAAAACAGCAAACUAUUAGACACAAUGUGGAGUAUGUUUAUGGUCUGUUACAUUUUAUGAAAUGGUUUUGUUUAUUUUUUAAAUACUUGUCAUGUUAGCAAUCUCCUGAUCAGAUGGUACAUUUAAAAGCCCAGAACAAAAUACACAUGGAAUGAUCAUCUUCUCUAGGAGCAACGAAACCCAGGCUUUCUGGUUUAUUUCUAUCCUUUCAUUAAUGAAAUCAUUACAGUUUUGUUAGGUCUAAUUCAAAGACCAAGAAGAAGGCAUUUGGAUGGAAAAUAAAGGGAGCAAGUUUUGUGUCUUUUUAAUGUGUUUUCUACAGCCAGGACCAAGCCCUUGAAAGCAAACUUCGACAAAGAAGUGUAAUUUCAUAAUAAAGAAAAGAAAGAACCCUGUAAAUACCUAAUUCCAGACUUUGCUUUGUCAUAAAGUCAGUGAUCUUCAUGCACCCAAUUUCACGUACAAAUUCCCAUUUCUUACGUAUAACUCCUUUCUAUUUACUGUUGAGGUCGUCUCCUGAUGUGGUUAAAAAUACAUGACUCUGUAACUAUGAUUUUUCUCAUGAUGAAAGUGAGAUGCAGGACAAGUCAGCUGUUAUUACGGGAUAUAUACGGAUGUGCUGGGAUGGAGUCCUCCACAAGAAAUCACGGGGGCAGAGCACGCUCUUAAGUCUCGGAGCUUCUUACCUGAGAAUGUUGAUUCCGAGUCGCUACAGUGGCUUCCAGGAGUUGUCAACUUUUAAAAAAUUGGGUUCCACUAUUCCAAAUCCUGGUCUCCUUCUUUGUUGAGAGAGAAGGAAGGCAGAUGGCAAGCAUGACGUGCGGGCUUCUGUAGGGGCUCUUGCUGUGGGGUAACCCUUGAUAAAAUAAAAACUUCAGCCAAAUUAAAUUUAAAAGUCUUUGAGCAAUGAAUGAAUUGCGAACCAGGCUGCCUUCUGAGUCAGAGUAGGUUCAGAGGCUCCAGCACAACCAUUUGGUGGAAGAAGAUUUAUGGACAUUGAAGGGACAUUGGAUUGGUUAUGGCUCAGCAUUUGCCUUAUUUGAACACAGUUUGAACAGUUGGCUAUGUUUGAUUGGCCGAAACUCAGUGACUGGCACAAGUGUAAGCUACAGUCUACUUACACCUCUCCUUGUUAUGGUUCAUGAUGUGCAGAAAAACCCUUAGGCCGAACUUAAAAUAUGUAAGGAGGCAGCUUUAGGCUAAACUUGAUUUAACACCCUCAAGAUACCCGAGUCUCUUGCAGAUUUGAGUCAGGAUGGCUUCAGCCUAAGGAAGAGCUUGCUGGGCUCCUGGUAAGCGUGGGAGGUUGGAGGAGCCGCUGCCUGGGGUAAGUGUGGGAGGUUGGAGGAGCCGCUGCCUGCAGUGCACAGUGUGUAGGUGUCCAGCUGAAUCUUCUCAGAUACUGUUAUGGGAUUUAGGGGGGUGUCGUUUUUCUGGCUGGAAACCUCUGUGGCUGGUGGGGCCUUUGCCUGAGUUUUGCUCUGGCCUGCUGAGCUCUUUUCGCCCACUCUGCCUGGCAGGCUGCACUUGGCUCACACUACCAGCCUCGGUAGUUGAGAGGGCAAUAUUGCUCACCUGUGACUCUGGGUGGUAUUUUCCCGCCAGCCGGUGCUGCAGGCCCCAGAGGCCGUGGUGUCAGGAGGGCCAUGGCACAGGGGCUGCGUGGGGAGGUUCUGAACCAUGGAACGUGGGCAGAAGUGGCGUAGCCAGUGCCAGGCCCUUUCCACUUUCUGUACCAUCUUCCAGCCCUCUUCCUCCUAUAGAGACAGCCGUGAAAACCUCGGGAGGCCUUGCAGACCCAGACUGGAUGUGUCAUGAGCCAGAAAAGGCAUGACGCCACUGAGACCCCGGUCUUUCCCUAUUUCCACAGCCAAUAUAAAUUACCCUCAGCAAGACGACACCAUGGAGAAAUGCUUCCACCAGGCACAGAAAUGGUUCCGGGGGCUAGAGAUUGAGAUGGUCCCCAACCACUGUGCAGUUCUAAGCACUUCAGGGCCCAGAGAACAAAGGGGCUAAUAGCGGGCCCAGGUGACCGUGAGAGAAUGGAGUUGUUGCUGCCCGAGGGAAGAGAGGACUGUCUCCCAUGCCCAGAGGCCCCGUGGGAGUGGUCCUAGCAUGCCUGUCCAGGAUAAAAGCCAAUAGAGGCCCACACAAGCCCCAGGCAGGAGAGACCCCCAUGGGAGCAGCCGCUGAAGAUGGAGAGUCCGAGAGCUGCGAGGCUGAUGGGGGGCCCAGGGGAAGCGUGGAGCAGCGUGUGAAUUCCAUCUGGGGCCCCCGCGCGGGUGCAGGCAUGGCCCUGCGGCGCCAGAUCUGCGUCCUGAUCUUGGAACUGAGCUGGAGAUGCGGGGCGUGGAAAAGGCCAGGGCAGCCGUCCUCUCCCGACUGGCUUCUGAUUGCAGCUGAGACCGCUGACACCGGUGUCUGGCGUUGCUCCUGAAAUCCUGACUCUCGAAAUCCACCGCACGCCUUUCUGCAUAGAGCAGCGAGCCUGCUUCUGGGUCAGCCUCUGAGCCAGUGUGCUUUAUUGCAAGCGUUAGAAACAUGACUUCUAACAUUGCAGUUAAAGGAGGAAUGAUAUAUUUCAGUGAAGAAUCCCAGCUCAACGGGGCUCUUCUGAGAACUGCAGAAAACAGCUCUGGGCUCCUCCCUCGGAGCACCCGCCCAGCUUCCCUCUCCUGGCACAAAACCUCGAUGCAAGCGGCGUGCGCCACAGUCCCAGGGUUCUCUGGCUUGUUUGUAAAUCUGUCAGCUGAGGCUACCAGCAAGUUCAGAACGAGUGCUGAACGCGGGGUACAGUGCGGCCACAGACACCCAGUGAGGGUGAGUCUUGUCUGGCAGAGAAGGGCGAGGCUGGGACGUGGCAGCCGGACUCAGCUUGACCACAAAUCUCUGCCCAGCGAAGGCUGCCAUGCCACUGAAUCCUGGGAAGAAAGCAAGACAAAUGCCUAAACUGGAAGGAGUAAAGGUGCCCUGCAAGAGUCUUGCUCUGUCACCCAGGCUGGAGUGCAAUGGCACAACCUCAGCUCACUGCAACAUCCACCUCCUGGGUUCAAGCGAUUCUACUGCUCCAGCCUCCUGAGUAGCUAGGAUUAUAGGCACACACCACCACACCCAGCUAAUUUUUGUAUUUUUAGUAGAGACAGGGUUUCACCAUGUUUGCCAGGCUGCUCUUGAACUCCUAACUUCGUGAUCUGCCCACCUCAGCAUCUGCCCACCUCGGCCUCCCAAAGUGCUAGGAUUACAGCUGUGAGCCACCGUGCAUGGCCAACUCUGUGUAUUUUUAAUAGAACAAGUGCUAUAUACAUAUUGAUACUCAAAACUUCAGCAUAAAAUAAAGGGCCAAGAUAUACGUGGAAACUGCAAAAAGCUAACGGAAAAAGGUGUGGGGAUGCGUUCAUUUCCUGUGGCUGCUGCCAAAUUACCAAAAACUUAGUGGCUGAAAACAACCCAGACGGCCCCACAGUGCUGCCUGUCAGAAGGCUGAAGGGCUGCACUGGCUGAAAUCCGCAGGUCACAGGCUUGGUCUCUCUGUGGUCUCCCCGUGGUCCAUUUGUGUUCUCUCUGUGGUCUCUCUGAGGUGUCUCUGAGGUCGGCUGGUGGUCUCUCUGAGGUCUCUCUGUAGUCUCUUCAGCAUCUCUCUAUGGUCUCCUCAUAGUCUGUCUGUGGUUUCCUUGUGGACUCCCUGUGGUCUCUCUCUCCAAAGUCUCUCUGUUAUCUCCUCAUGGUCUCUCUGAGGUCUCUCUGUGGUCACCCUGUGGACUCCCUGUGGUCUCUGUGAUUGCUCUGAGGUGUCUCUGUGGUCUCUCCAAGGCAUCUCUAUGAUCUCUCUGAGGUCUCCCCAUGGUCAGAAAAUUCAA